UUUUGGGAGAUUUGAAUAUUGCUAAAGAUAUUUCAAAAAAAUUUUAUUAUUAUGUUGUUUGUUGAAAAAUAUUCAAAUUAAUCAAAAGAAAAAAUGUCACGAAAAGAUAAAUCAAAUCUAUCCAGAAAUUCAUCACGGGAUUAUGCAGCAAUCAAUUAAGGAAGCGAUCUUCAAUCUGCGUAAUAAUGGUAGACCCUAAAUGAAAUACCAACAUAUCAAGCAGGAAGAUUUUACAUUUAUAAAACGGAUAUCAUGUUGAACAAGAAUUCAUUUAAAGAAAGGAUAUUAUGUUUUCAACACCACACUGAUUGCAUUUUUUAAACUUUGUCAGAACGAUCCUUUCGCAAGCAUAUUAUUGUAAAUGCAUUCUGUAAUUAUACGUGGAACAUAUUAAAAAAAGAAUGGCAUCGUCGUGUUCUUGGUAUACCUGUUCAAAAUCAUCCUGGCGUUAAAGCAUCAGACGCUCUUGGUAGUGUCUACACGAAAUAUUUUACAAAUUUUACUACAUCAUGUUCGAGGUCCUUAACGCUUUGUAGAGCUUACAUUUUUCAAUUGUUAAGAAUGUAAAACUUAUAGAGAAGCAUGUAAAACUCGGCGACUGUUAGAAAAUGAUAAUCAUUAAAAUGAAACUCUGAAAAUAAGAGAACUUUACGCAACGCUUUUAUCUUCUUGCGGUCUUUCUCAUCCUCAAACACAUUGCGACCAGUACAAAGAAUACAUGGCGGAAGAUAUUUUACAUGAAUUGCAGCAAGUGCAUUCAGAUAUGACUUUCACUGAACAUAUAUUAUAUGUAUAUAAAAAAAAUUGUAAUUGAAAACAAGGUUUUAACAAUGGCCGGAAAAAACCUAGAUCACUUUGGAAUUCAAAUUCUUACACGAGGCAAUGGAGAUGAUUUUAAUAAUGAAAUUGGUUGAAAAUUACAACAUUAAAUUACAGAGUUAAUUCCAAAA
This is a long non-coding RNA of Bactrocera oleae (olive fruit fly), 950 nucleotides long. RefSeq lists it as uncharacterized. NCBI's taxonomy places the organism in Eukaryota, Metazoa, Arthropoda, Insecta, Diptera, Tephritidae. The record is from RefSeq and is a predicted model, not a curated record.